AACGAACGCUGGCGGCAUGCCUAACACAUGCAAGUCGAACGAGACCUUCGGGUCUAGUGGCGCACGGGUGCGUAACGCGUGGGAACCUGCCCUUAGGUUCGGAAUAACUCCCCGAAAGGGGUGCUAAUACCGGAUAAUGUCUUCGGACCAAAGAUUUAUCGCCUUUGGAUGGGCCAGCGUUGGAUUAGCUAGUUGGUAGGGUAAAAGCCUACCAAGGCGACGAUCCAUAGCUGGUCUGAGAGGAUGAUCAGCCACACUGGGACUGAGACACGGCCCAGACUCCUACGGGAGGCAGCAGUGGGGAAUAUUGGACAAUGGGCGGAAGCCUGAUCCAGCAAGGCCGCGUGAGUGAUGAAGGCCUUAGGGUUGUAAAGCUCUUUUACCCGGGAUGAUAAUGACAGUACCGGGAGAAUAAGCUCCGGCUAACUCCGUG
RNAcentral lists this ribosomal RNA (433 nucleotides) under uncultured bacterium. RNAcentral's name for it is "partial 16S ribosomal RNA". It matches the Rfam family "Bacterial small subunit ribosomal RNA", at positions 29 to 507 of the family's 1533-position model. The record is from RNAcentral.